UAUUGAACAAAUCUGCAUGAAGUCUAUAAAAGCCAUCUAGUACAUCAAAUGAGCAACAAGGUGAAAGCAUGACUGUUAGAAGACUCAAGUCAAAAAAGCAGUGUUCAAUCAUUUCCCUUCCAUUCACAAGAUAUCCACCCAUCUCGUGAUCAAUAAACAAUAGCCUGACUCAUUAAAUACAAAGCAUUGGCUGUGUGAAAUGGUGCCUUUUCCCUUAGGAUUAAUGUUUUAUUUCAUAAAAAGGUAUACAUUUUUUGUGAUGUUGGCACUUGGCAGAGGUGCCCCCAAGCCUGGGUUACAAACUGGGGAAAGUGGGUGACUACCUGGGGCCCAGACCUGUAAGGGCCCCCCAAAACUCCAAGUUGGUUGGUAGUUGAUUUCACUGUACUUCCAAAUACAGCAAUAUGUUACCUCCACUACAAAGCAGCUACCACAGGAAACCCUGCGUAAUGUACUGGUGCUGAGUAGAGUAAAGUACCAGUAUUUUAAUUAGCCUAACUGGUCAAACUUACACUAUCUGAUGAUUGGAUUCUUGAUCUGUCUGGAGAUGUGGAAACAUGACUGGGUGAUUCCUUGGCCAAAAUGUCAUGCUGGUGAAGAAUAUGGAGGCAUCAUGAAUCAUUGCUGUCCAAGAGUGAUCAAUAUCCUCAUUCCUCCUGGCCUUGGAUCCUCUCUAGCAGAUGCUGUUCUACUCGCUGAUUCAUGCG
Long non-coding RNA from Thunnus maccoyii (southern bluefin tuna), 707 nucleotides. RefSeq lists it as uncharacterized. The transcript has 3 exons. NCBI's taxonomy places the organism in Eukaryota, Metazoa, Chordata, Actinopteri, Scombriformes, Scombridae. The record is from RefSeq and is a predicted model, not a curated record.